CAGUCGGUUCUUCACGUAGAUGGUGGUU
Molecule: small RNA, 28 nt
Filed under: Bombyx mori (domestic silkworm)
Lineage: Eukaryota; Metazoa; Arthropoda; Insecta; Lepidoptera; Bombycidae
Description: ovarian small RNA-13350
Source: RNAcentral